UACGAAGGGGGCUAGCGUUGCUCGGAAUUACUGGGCGUAAAGCGCACGUAGGCGGCUUCUUAAGUCGGGGGUGAAAGCCUGUGGCUCAACCACAGAAUUGCCUUCGAUACUGUCGAGCUUGAGACCGGAAGAGGUAAGUGGAACUGCGAGUGUAGAGGUGAAAUUCGUAGAUAUUCGCAAGAACACCAGUGGCGAAGGCGGCUUACUGGUCCGGUUCUGACGCUGAGGAGCGAAAGCGUGGGGAGCGAACAGG
Molecule: ribosomal RNA, 253 nt
Filed under: uncultured bacterium
Lineage: Bacteria
Description: partial 16S ribosomal RNA
Rfam family: Bacterial small subunit ribosomal RNA
Source: RNAcentral